GAAUGUGCUUCGUAUUGAUAAUUAUGUUGCUUUUAUCUGAUUUUAAUUUUGCCAUUUUGCUUGCAAUGAUUGGAAAGUGUGUUGAAUUUAGAGGUAGUGCUGGUCAAAUUACAUUUUAAUUCUUUUUUAAUAUGGGUUAUAUUUUUAGUAGUCUAAGUGAUUGAGUGUUUUACAUGUAAAAAUGACAAACCAUCUCAAUGUUGCAACUCAAUCAUUUUUAUUCACCCUUUCAAUAUUAUAUUUAUCCAAUGUGGGAUAACAUUCCCAACAAGUUUUCCUUAUAUUGGCAAUGUAAAUGCAGGUGAUGUUAUGUAUAGUUGGC
This 322-nucleotide unclassified non-coding RNA is filed under the name Hevea brasiliensis (rubber tree). Lineage: Eukaryota; Viridiplantae; Streptophyta; Magnoliopsida; Malpighiales; Euphorbiaceae. The record is from RNAcentral.